Molecule: ribosomal RNA, 591 nt
Filed under: Staphylococcus equorum
Lineage: Bacteria; Bacillati; Bacillota; Bacilli; Caryophanales; Staphylococcaceae
Description: bacterial SSU rRNA
Rfam family: Bacterial small subunit ribosomal RNA
Source: RNAcentral
UUGCUCCUUUGAAGUUAGCGGCGGACGGGUGAGUAACACGUGGGUAACCUACCUAUAAGACUGGAAUAACUUCGGGAAACCGGAGCUAAUGCCGGAUAACAUUUGGAACCGCAUGGUUCUAAAGUAAAAGAUGGUUUUGCUAUCACUUAUAGAUGGACCCGCGCCGUAUUAGCUAGUUGGUAAGGUAACGGCUUACCAAGGCAACGAUACGUAGCCGACCUGAGAGGGUGAUCGGCCACACUGGAACUGAGACACGGUCCAGACUCCUACGGGAGGCAGCAGUAGGGAAUCUUCCGCAAUGGACGAAAGUCUGACGGAGCAACGCCGCGUGAGUGAUGAAGGUUUUCGGAUCGUAAAACUCUGUUAUUAGGGAAGAACAAAUGUGUAAGUAACUGUGCACAUCUUGACGGUACCUAAUCAGAAAGCCACGGCUAACUACGUGCCAGCAGCCGCGGUAAUACGUAGGUGGCAAGCGUUAUCCGGAAUUAUUGGGCGUAAAGCGCGCGUAGGCGGUUUCUUAAGUCUGAUGUGAAAGCCCACGGCUCAACCGUGGAGGGUCAUUGGAAACUGGGAAACUUGAGUACAGAAGAG